This 2226-nucleotide ribosomal RNA is filed under the name Catonura rufithorax. RNAcentral describes it as "eukaryotic LSU rRNA". It matches the Rfam family "Eukaryotic large subunit ribosomal RNA", at positions 44 to 1897 of the family's 3401-position model. The record is from RNAcentral. Lineage: Eukaryota; Metazoa; Arthropoda; Insecta; Coleoptera; Nitidulidae.
AAUUAAGCGGAGGAAAAGAAACUAACUAGGAUUCCCUUAGUAGCUGCGAGCGAACAGGGAUGAGCCCAGCACCGAAUCCCGCGGCCAGCAUUGGACGCCGGGAAAUGUGGUGUUAGGGAGGAUCCAUUAUCCCGAGACAUUACGAUGCGUCCAAGUCCUUCUUGAACGGGGCCAUAACCCAUAGAGGGUGCCAGGCCCGUAGUGACCGUCGUACGUUGCGGGAGGAUUUCUCCUCAGAGUCGGGUUGCUUGAGAGUGCAGCCCUAAGUGGGUGGUAAACUCCAUCUAAGGCUAAAUAUGACCACGAGACCGAUAGCGAACAAGUACCGUGAGGGAAAGUUGAAAAGCACUUUGAAGAGAGAGUUCAAGAGUACGUGAAACCGUUCAGGGGUAAACCUGAGAAACCCGAAAGGUCGGCGGGGAAAUUCAUUCGCGUUUCGUCGUUUGACAUCGAGUGGUAGCGUGACGAACGGUCUUCGGGUCGUGAGCACAUAUCGUUUGGUGAUAUCGGCGACGAACGCGUGCACUUUUCCUCUUGUCGGACGUCGCGAUCCGUUGGGCGUCGGUCUAAGGCUCGCGGUGGAGACCUGACGAUGAUCGUUUACGCGAUUGUCGUUAGGACCCGCGGUGUUUCCCGACCGACUCGCUCGACGGUAUGCAUAUGGCGCGGAGCCGCGACACAAUUCGCGUUCGGCCCGAGGCAAGCGCGCGCGAGUUUUCGGCCAUCGGACCUGGUGCCGGUUCUGAUCUCGCGCGACUGUUGGCUUCGGUGUUCUCGAACAGACUCUGUGAAACGCCGAUCGGCGACGCUAUAGCUUUGGGUACUUUCAGGACCCGUCUUGAAACACGGACCAAGGAGUCUAGCAUGUGCGCGAGUCAUUGGGAAAUAAUUAAACCUAAAGGCGCAAUGAAAGUGAAGGUUAACCUUGCGUUGACCGAGGGAGGAUGGGCGGUUCGCCCUUAAAGUGGCCGCUCCGCACUCCCGGGGCGUCUCAUUCUCAUCGCGAGAAGAGGCGCACCAAGAGCGUACACGCUGGGACCCGAAAGAUGGUGAACUAUGCCUGGUCAGGACGAAGUCAGGGGAAACCCUGAUGGAGGUCCGUAGCGAUUCUGACGUGCAAAUCGAUCGUCGGAACUGGGUAUAGGGGCGAAAGACUAAUCGAACCAUCUAGUAGCUGGUUCCCUCCGAAGUUUCCCUCAGGAUAGCUGGCGCUCGUGUAUACGAGUCUCAUCCGGUAAAGCGAAUGAUUAGAGGCAUUGGGGUCGAAACGACCUCAACCUAUUCUCAAACUUUAAAUGGGUGAGAUCUCCGGCUUGCUCGAACUUAUGAAGCCGCGAGAAUUUUUAACGGAUCAGAGUGCCAAGUGGGCCAUUUUUGGUAAGCAGAACUGGCGCUGUGGGAUGAACCAAACGCCGAGUUAAAGCGCCUAAAUCGACGCUUAUGGGAUACCAUGAAAGGCGUUGGUAACUUAAGACAGCAGGACGGUGGCCAUGGAAGUCGGAAUCCGCCAAGGAGUGUGUAACAACUCACCUGCCGAAGUUACUAGCCCUGAAAAUGGAUGGCGCUGAAGCGUCGUGCUUAUACUCGGCCGUCAGCGGCAUGUGCGAUCACUUUAGUGUGGUCAUGAAGCUCUGACGAGUAGGAGGGUCGCGGCGGUGUGCGCAGAAGGGCUGGCCGUGAGGCCGUCUGGAGCCGCCGUCGGUGCAGAUCUUGGUGGUAGUAGCAAAUACUCCAGCGAGGCCCUGGAGGACUGACGUGGAGAAGGGUUUCGUGUGAACAGCCGUUGCACACGAGUCAGUCGAUCCUAAGCCCUAGGCGAAAGCCGAUGUUGAUGUUGGUGUAGUUUAUAAUAUAUAUUUACGUAUGUAAUAUGUACACACCCGUCGGGCGAAAGGGAAUCCGGUUCCUAUUCCGGAACCCGGCAGCGGAACCGUCAAUAAGUCGGGCCCUCGCAAGAGAGUUCGUCGGGGUAACCCAAAAGGACCCGGAGACGCCGUCGGGAGAUCCGGGAAGAGUUUUCUUUUCUGCAUGAGCGUUCGAGUUCCAUGGAAUCCUCUAGCAGGGAGAUAUGGUUUGGAACGCGAAGAGCACCGCAGUUGCAGCGGUGUCCGGAUCUUCCCCUCGGACCUUGAAAAUCCGGGAGAGGGCCACGUGGAGGCGUCGCGCCGGUUCGUACCCAUAUCCGCAGCAGGUCUCCAAGGUGAAGAGCCUCUAGUCGAUAGAAUA